UCGUAACAAGGUUUCCGUAGGUGAACCUGCGGAAGGAUCAUUAACGAGUUUUGUACUAAUUCAGUACAAUCUUCAUCCAUAACACCUGUGAACUUUACAUAAACUUUUGCUUUGGCUGGACGUAAAAAACCUAGCCAAAGGAUUUAAACAAAACCUUUUAUUUAAUAACCUAUUGUCUGAAUUGUAAUAAUUUUAAUUAUUCAAAACUUUCAACAACGGAUCUCUUGGUUCUCGCAUCGAUGAAGAACGCAGCGAAAUGCGAUAAGUAUUGUGAAUUGCAGAUUUGUGAAUCAUCGAAUUUUUGAACGCACAUUGCGCCCUCUGGUAUUCCGGGGGGCAUGCCUGUUCGAGCGUCAUUGCUUUCUCAAACCCUCUGGUUUGGUGUUGAAUUUAUUAUGUAGCAAUACAUAUGAUUCGAAAAGCAUUGGCAAGGCUAUUUGAGCUUUUCUUACAACGUAUUAGGUUUUACCAACUCGUUGGCUACAGUAAGUUUAAAAAUAAAGCCUGGCUUUAGAACUCUCUAAAGUUUGACCUCGGAUCAGGUAGGAUUACCCGCUGAACUUAAGCAUAUCAAUAA
Molecule: unclassified non-coding RNA, 577 nt
Filed under: Nadsonia fulvescens
Lineage: Eukaryota; Fungi; Ascomycota; Dipodascomycetes; Dipodascales
Description: sequence contains 18S rRNA gene, ITS1, 5.8S rRNA gene, ITS2, 28S rRNA gene
Rfam family: 5.8S ribosomal RNA (bases 205-356)
Source: RNAcentral